AGGUGACGAUCUUUUGGGCGGAACCAAAAGUCGGGAAACUUUGGUUCCGCCCGGAUGUUUCCGUCCAGACCGAAGAACGGAAACACCGGACAUCCGGCAGAUUUGCGGAGGCUGUAAUCAGCCGAUUGGGCACAGCUGUGCCUAGUUAAAAGAGAUCGCCAGGCAAUUGGAUAACUGAAGCACAGAAAGGAGUAUUUAAAGCACAGUUAAAUGACAGUUCAGGAGUUCGGGCACGAGAGGGGGAUUGACACGGGGAGAGCUCCUCUGCUUAGGGCAGGAGAGGUAAAUACGUACCUUUUGAAGAGCCCGCAGGCUCUGUUGAUCCGGGCUGCGCUAGAAGCGCGCGGAAAGAAGACAGGAGCUGCCUGGGGUGAAAGAAAGGCGAUACGUGAGUGGAGAAAAGGAGCACCCCGAAGAGAGCAUUGUGCUGUCAAGCCUGUGCUUAGUGUGUGCUGGAAAGCGGAGCUGUGCUCAUUUUUGGACGUGGUGGCUGUCUGUGGUUCUCUCUCUCUCUCGUCGUAGUCUUUAUUGUGGACCUGCUGGAGUAAACAGGAAAACCCUAUGGGUAAGAAGGAACUUUGUGCUAACCAAUACUGAAGGAGUAAAGCAGGAAGAAAAUUGACCUUCUGGUACAACGUAAACAAAGGCUACCCGCCGUGAGUAUACCCUUUUUGUGUGGAGUAACUGGCAAAAAUUAACUUGUGUAACCAUUGGAAACCUCCAGGAGAAGGAGGGCGGCCCUACCCCUACAAGAGUGUGGUGGGCGAGCCGUGAGAAGUCCAACUUCAAACAGCCACCGCAACGAGACUUAUUGUGGUCGUAUUUCCCAUCGCCUUAUCAUAGCCCAAGCGCAGUGGAGGACACCGGGCGCUUCCCCUGUUGUGGUGCACUUAUAGUGUGGUGAGUGAGAUUGUGUAAUAAAUCUUUUUCACGUUUGGAGUGGUGCUGUGUAUUGCUGUGGGUUGCUGUGUGUCUUGUAGACGAAGCCCCGCAUCAUCCAUUGUCUUCCACUGGGCAGAGGACGGAAAGGCCAACGACUACAGAAAUUACUGUUACCAUAUGUAGUGUGCUGUUUGGAGGACGAAGGGACGCAGACUAAGAGCCGUCCGUGACCGUGAGUAAACCAAUGGAAACAUUCGUGGUGUGAACUUACCUGUGUCUGUUGUGUCGCAGAGUCAGAGGCGAAAGGGUCCGCCGCCCCGUGGUCUCUACGAAAAGGGCGCCCCCGUCGAGGAAUCGAUCGGCCUAUGGGCAUUGGAGAUAGGGCAGCGCUCGACCGGGUGAGGUGGUGUGUGACCUUCGCCCCUCUGCUGACCUACGGAGGAGAACGUGAUACCUACCCAGAAAGUUGUAAACAGCAAAGCCGGUGAGAAAUACUCGAAGUCUCAGUAACAGUGUCUUUGUGUCCUGGCGGCCACCUGUGGAGAGAGAGCAGAACGAAAGUGAACCAUUGAAGAGCAGACUGUGAACGUGAUACCUACCUGAAAAGCUGUAAACAGCAGAGCCGGUGAGAAAUACUCGAAGUCUCAGUAACAGUGUCUUUGUGUCCUAGCGGCCACCUGUGGAGAGAGAGAGAACGAAAGUGAAUCAUUGAGGAGCAGACUGUGAACGUGAUACCUACCCAGAAAGCUGUAAACAGCAGAGCCGCGGCCACCUGUGGAGAGAGAGCAGAACGGAAGUGAAUCAUUGAGGAGCAGACUGUGAACGUGAUACCUACCCAGAAAGCUGUAAACAGCAGAGCCGCGGCCACCUGUGGAGAGAGAGCAGAACGAAAGUGAAACAUUGAAGAGCAGACUGUGAACGUGAUACCUACCCAGAAAGCUGUAAACAGCAGAGCCGUGGCCUCCUGUGGAGAGAACGGAAAACGAGAAGGAACAUGAGGAAGAUGGACCGUGUGAAGAUACAGUGGUGGUGGAGGAGAGCCUAGAGUGGCCAUUGUUUUAAGUCCCCCGUUCCCCUUCCUUAUUUAAUGCUUUUAAGUAAUUUAAUAAAGGAUAUUUUAAUUUUA
This is a non-coding RNA of Paramisgurnus dabryanus, 2008 nucleotides long. The record is from RefSeq and is a predicted model, not a curated record. Lineage: Eukaryota; Metazoa; Chordata; Actinopteri; Cypriniformes; Cobitidae.